GUGAACGCUGGCGGUAGGCCUAACACAUGCAAGUCGAACGGCAGCACAGAGGAGCUUGCUCCUUGGGUGGCGAGUGGCGGACGGGUGAGGAAUACAUCGGAAUCUACUCUGUCGUGGGGGAUAACGUAGGGAAACUUACGCUAAUACCGCAUACGACCUACGGGUGAAAGCAGGGGAUCUUCGAACCUUGCGCGAUUGAAUGAGCCGAUGUCGGAUUAGCUAGUUGGCGGGGUAAAG
Molecule: ribosomal RNA, 237 nt
Filed under: uncultured bacterium
Lineage: Bacteria
Description: partial 16S ribosomal RNA
Rfam family: Bacterial small subunit ribosomal RNA
Source: RNAcentral